This 178-nucleotide long non-coding RNA is filed under the name Dermacentor andersoni. RNAcentral describes it as "uncharacterized LOC126530515". The record is from RNAcentral. Lineage: Eukaryota; Metazoa; Arthropoda; Arachnida; Ixodida; Ixodidae.
CCGAGCGAGAUGUCGACGAUGACCUCCACCUGCCUUCUGGCUGGUCUUCUCUGCGUGGCAUCCGUGACGUGGGGAGCUGCACCUCCGGCAACGGACUGCAUUAACGUAGAGAUCGGCGACAUUCUGGGUAUUCGCGAGUGUAUCGGCACUUCUUCGAACUUCUGCGGCGGCACCUCCG